This 410-nucleotide ribosomal RNA is filed under the name uncultured bacterium. RNAcentral's name for it is "bacterial SSU rRNA". It matches the Rfam family "Bacterial small subunit ribosomal RNA", at positions 29 to 483 of the family's 1533-position model. The record is from RNAcentral.
AACGAACGUUGGCGGCAGGCCUAACACAUGCAAGUCGAGCGAGACCUUCGGGUCUAGCGGCGGACGGGUGAGUAACGCGUGGGAACGUGCCCUUUGGUUCGGAAUAGCCCCGGGAAACUGGGAGUAAUACCGGAUAAGCCCUACGGGGGAAAGAUUUAUCGCCAAAGGAUCGGCCCGCGUUGGAUUAGGUAGUUGGUGGGGUAAUGGCCUACCAAGCCGACGAUCCAUAGCUGGUUUGAGAGGAUGAUCAGCCACACUGGGACUGAGACACGGCCCAGACUCCUACGGGAGGCAGCAGUGGGGAAUCUUAGACAAUGGGGGAAACCCGUGAUCUAGCCAUGCCGCGUGAGCGAUGAAGGCCUUAGGGUUGUAAAGCUCUUUCAGUGGGAAGGAUAAUGACUGUACCCACA